GAAAUCAGGGCCAGAGCAAGUGCAGGCCUGCCUCAGGCAGGGAGCUGCUGCUGUGCUCCCACCCCCUCGGGGGACCCCAGCCCUUCCUGGUGAGCUAGGGAAGGAGAAGGGUGAGGGGCCAGGAUCUCUGGGACCCCAGGCAGCUUGGGAGGGUCUCUCGGCACUGUCAGGGGAAGCAUCCAGGGAGCUCCCCAUGAUUGGGUCAGUGCUUGUUCAGAAAACCUUCAAAAAUCAGCAGAAAGGACCCCAGCUUUGAACCCCAGGAUCAGCAACGAGGGACCUCAGAGGCUUCACCCACAGGGACAGCAGGAUCGUGUGAUGAUCGACCGUGAAGGUUCUUCUCAGCAGAUCAGUGAUCCCAGGCGAUCCGGAGAGACUUUGUGUAGAAAACGCCCUCUACAUCCAGAGAACGAGCUAUGGAAAAUAAAGUGUAAUUGAUCCAGCCAUUCUCCAGCUGAUGGGCAUCCAUCCGGUUUCCAGUUCCUUACUACCACAAAGAGGGCUGCCACAAACGCUUUUGCACAUGUGGGUCCUUUUCCCUCCUUUUGAUUCAGACCCAGAAAUGGCACUGCUGAGUCAAAGGGGACGCACAGUUUGAUAACUUUUUGAGCAUAGGUCCAAAUUGUUCUCUAGAAUGGUUGGAUCUGUUCACAGAUCCACCAACAAUGCAUCGGUGUCCCAGUUUUCCCACAUCCCCUCCAACAUUUAUCAUUAUCUUUUCCUGUCAUCUUACACAAUCUGAGAGGUAUAUGGUGGAACCUCAUUGUUUUUUUUUUACACAAUUACUUUUUUUAAAUUGUUCUUGUGUUUUAAUUCAUUUGAACUAAUAUAAAUCUCUUGUUCUUUUUUUUUAAUAAUUAUAAUUUUUUUAUUGACAGAACCCAUGCCAGGGUAAUUUUUUACAUUAUCCCUUGCAUUCACUUCUGUUCUGACUUUUCCCCUCCCUCCCUCCAUCCCCUCCCCCAGAUGGCAAGCAGUCCUUUACAUGUUGAAUGGGUUGCAGUAUAUCCUAGAUACAAUCUAUGUUUGCAGAACCGAACAGUUCCCUUGUUGCAUAGGGAGAAUUGGAUUCAGAAGGUAGAAAUAACCCGGGAAGAAAAACAAAAAUGCAGAUAGUUCACAUUCAUUUCCCAGUGUUCUUUCUUUGGGUGUAGCAGCUUCUGCCCAUCUUUGAUCAAUUGAAACUGAAUUAGCCUCUUUAUCGAAGAGAUCCCCUUCUAUCAGAAUCCGUCCUCAAACAGUAUCGUUGUUGGGGUAUAUAAUGAUCUGGUUCUGCUCAUUUCCCUCAGCAUCAGUUCCUGUGAGUCUCUCCAGUCCUCUCUGUAUUCCUCCUGCUGGUCAUUCCUUACAGAACAAUAAUAUUCCACAACAUUCAUAUACCACAGUUUACUCAACCAUUCUCCCAUUGAUGGGCGUCCAUCACAGUUGUUAUAAUUUGCAUUUCUCUCAUCAAUAGAGAUUUGGAGCAUCUUUUCCUAUGGCUAGAAAUGGUUUCAGUUUCUUCACCUGAGAAUUGUCCGUAUCCUUUGAUCUUUUGACAGUUGGGGAAUGAUUUGUAUUCUUAUCCGUUUGACUCAGUCCCCCCUACAUUUUAGAAAUGCUCGGCCUUCAUUCUCGAAGAGAACCAAUGACAUCCCGGGGAGCCCCACGCGAGGAUUUGGGGGCCGUGUUUCUCUCGGUCCAGAGGAUGAUUGUUCUUCACCGAGGGCCGGAGGCUGGGCCGGAGGCUGGGCCCUGCGUGUAUUGGCCGGGGAGCUUUUCCCAAAGCCCUCUGCGGGAGAUCCGGGAGGGGCUUCCUGCCCAGAGGCAGCUCAGCUCCCCCACAGAAGGUCCUGGGAGUGCAGCAGGGACAAGCCGAGGCAGUCAGAGAAGAACUAAGGUGGGGAGACUGAGGCUUUGUUCGGGUACCAGCCUCCCCCAGGAUGGUGUUCCUUCCCAUUAAUGCUUUAUCAGGCAGCGGUGGUUUUGUGCCGGCAGUGCUGGGCGCCGACCAGACAGGGAGCUCCGCGGGGCUGGGUACUCAGAGGAGCCAGGGACCCCAGAGGUUGGCUAGUCCGUCCCUCCCCCCACUCUAAACAGUAGAAAACUGGGGUUUGGCUUCCUUGGGGUCGCCUGGUCCCCCCUGCAUGCUCCAGGCUCCCUCUGCCCUUCCCCCCCAUCCAUGGCCUGAAGGAGAUAUCUGGGCGGCUCCAAGAAGGGGUCCCUCCCGGCAACCCCAGGCCAGGGCCUUCCCAGCAGCCAGACUCCUGCAGGGGAGCCCCAAGGACAGCCCGGGGGGAAGGAGCAGGGCUGGGCUCCGUCCAGCGCCUGCCUUCGGGCUCCAGCGCCUGCCUUCGGGCUCCCUGCCUCCUCUCCACCCCCCCCCCCCCACAGCUGCAUCCCUGCCUGGGGCCGCUCCUUCCCCGCUCCCUCCCCAUUCAGGCAUCCUUUUAAAGCCAGCUGGGGAGGGGGAGCAGGGAACAAUGAGGGGCCUUCUGAGUGAGAUCGG
Molecule: long non-coding RNA, 2488 nt
Organism: Antechinus flavipes (yellow-footed antechinus)
Lineage: Eukaryota; Metazoa; Chordata; Mammalia; Dasyuromorphia; Dasyuridae
Exons: 3
Source: RefSeq, a predicted model, not a curated record